GAUGAACGCUGGCGGCGUGCCUAAUACAUGCAAGUCGAGCGAACAGAUGAGGAGCUUGCUCCUCUGACGUUAGCGGCGGACGGGUGAGUAACACGUGGAUAACCUACCUAUAAGACUGGGAUAACUUCGGGAAACCGGAGCUAAUACCGGAUAAUAUAUUGAACCGCAUGGUUCAAUAGUGAAAGACGGUUUUGCUGUCACUUAUAGAUGGAUCCGCGCCGCAUUAGCUAGUUGGUAAGGUAACGGCUUACCAAGGCGACGAUGCGUAGCCGACCUGAGAGGGUGAUCGGCCACACUGGAACUGAGACACGGUCCAGACGCCUACGGGAGGCAGCAGUAGGGAAUCUUCCGCAAUGGGCGAAAGCUUGACGGAGCAACGCCGCGUGAGUGAUGAAGGUCUUCGGAUCGUAAAACUCUGUUAUUAGGGAAGAACAAAUGUGUAAGUAACUAUGCACGUCUUGACGGUACCUAAUCAGAAAGCCACGGCUAACUACGUG
Molecule: ribosomal RNA, 497 nt
Filed under: uncultured bacterium
Lineage: Bacteria
Description: partial 16S ribosomal RNA
Rfam family: Bacterial small subunit ribosomal RNA
Source: RNAcentral